GGAAGCUUGGCAGAGUCUGGUUUAUUGCACUAGUCUUGAAAACUAGAGGUCCUGGGGACAGGUUCCGUGAGUUCAAAUCUCACAGCUUCCU
Molecule: transfer RNA, 91 nt
Filed under: Escherichia phage EcS1
Lineage: Duplodnaviria; Heunggongvirae; Uroviricota; Caudoviricetes; Pantevenvirales; Straboviridae
Rfam family: tRNA
About the family: Transfer RNA (tRNA) molecules are approximately 80 nucleotides in length. Their secondary structure includes four short double-helical elements and three loops (D, anti-codon, and T loops).
Source: Rfam by way of RNAcentral